RNAcentral lists this ribosomal RNA (497 nucleotides) under uncultured bacterium. RNAcentral's name for it is "partial 16S ribosomal RNA". It matches the Rfam family "Bacterial small subunit ribosomal RNA", at positions 28 to 507 of the family's 1533-position model. The record is from RNAcentral.
GAUGAACGCUGGCGGCGUGCCUAAUACAUGCAAGUCGAGCGAACAGACGAGGAGCUUGCUCCUCUGACGUUAGCGGCGGGCGGGUGAGUAACACGUGGAUAACCUACCUAUAAGACUGGGAUAACUUCGGGAAACCGGAGCUAAUACCGGAUAAUAUAUUGAACCGCAUGGUUCAAUAGUGAAAGACGGUUUUGCUGUCACUUAUAGAUGGAUCCGCGCCGCAUUAGCUAGUUGGUAAGGUAACGGCUUACCAAGGCAACGAUGCGUAGCCGACCUGAGAGGGUGAUCGGCCACACUGGAACUGAGACACGGUCCAGACUCCUACGGGAGGCAGCAGUAGGGAAUCUUCCGCAAUGGGCGAAAGCCUGACGGAGCAACGCCGCGUGAGUGAUGAAGGUCUUCGGAUCGUGAAACUCUGUUAUUAGGGAAGAACAAAUGUGUAAGUAACUAUGCACGUCUUGACGGUACCUAAUCAGAAAGCCACGGCUAACUACGUG